This 1406-nucleotide ribosomal RNA is filed under the name metagenome. RNAcentral describes it as "SSU rRNA". It matches the Rfam family "Eukaryotic small subunit ribosomal RNA", at positions 242 to 1801 of the family's 1831-position model. The record is from RNAcentral.
UUAGGUGAAUUAUGAUAAUUUAGUAAAUCGAAGCAAUGCUUCGAUGCAUCAUUCAAGUUUCUGACCUAUCAUGCUCUUGAUGGUAGUGUAUUGGACUACCAUGGCAGUCAUGGGUAACGGAGAAUUAGGGUUUGAUUCCGGAGAAGGAGCCUGAGAAAUGGCUACUAUAUUUAAGGAAGGCAGCAGGUGUGUAAAUUACCUAAUUUUAAAUUAGGGAGGUAGUGACAAGAUAUAACAACGCGAUUAAAUAUCGCGAUUGUAGUGGGUGUAUUCUAAAAAUAGCAUUUAGUACGAUUGGAGGGUAAGUCUGGUGCCAGUAGUUCGUAAUUCCAGCUCCAAUAGUAUAUAUUAAAGUUGUUGCAGUUAAAAAGCUCGUAGUUGGAUUUCAAGUGUAGUAUUUAGGUUUCUAGUAUGCUCUCUACCAGUCUUUGACUGUUACUGUGAGAAAAUUAGAGUGUUUCAAGCAGGUAAUUGCAGGAAUACAUUAGCAUGGAAUAACGAAUGUACUUACAAUAUGGUUAAUUGUAGGUUACGGUUAAUAGGGACAGUUGGGGGCAUUAGUAUUUAAUUGUCAGAGGUGAAAUUCUUGGAUUUGUUAAAGACUAAUGUAUGCGAAAGCAUUUGCCAAGGAUGUUUUCAUUAAUCAAGAACGAAAGAUAGGGGAUUAAAGACGAUUAGAUAUCGUCGUAGUCCUAUCUAUAAACUAUGCCGACUAGGGAUUGGUGGAGUGUAUACUCCAUCAGUACCUUAUGAGAAAUCAAAGUCUUUGGGUUCUGGGGGGAGUAUGGUUGUAAGACUGAAACUUAAAGAAAUUGACGGAAGGGCACCACCAGGAGUGGAGCCUGCGGCUUAAUUUGAUUAAUAUGGGGAAAUUUACCAGGUCCAGACAUGAUAAGGAUUGAUAGAUUGAUAGUUCUUUCUUGAUUUUAUGGGUGGUGGUGCAUGGCCGUUCUUAGUUGGUGGAGUGAUUUGUUUGGUUAACUUUGAUAACGAACGAGACCUUAACCUGCUAACUAGUCUUGUCUAUUUUAUAGAUAUAGACUUUUUAGAGGGACUAUGUUAUGAUGAGUGCAUGGAAGUUUGAGGUAAUAAUAGGUCUGUGAUGCCCUUAUAUGUUCUGGGCUGCACGCGUGCUACACUGAUGCAUACAGUAAGUUCCAUGCCCGAAGGGGUUUGGUAAUCUCUAAUAUGCAUCGUGAUGGGGAUAGAUCUUUGUAAUUGUAGAUCUUGAACGAGGAAUUCUUAGUAAAUGUAAGUCAUCAUCUUACAUUGAUUAUGUCCCUGCCCUUUGUAUAUAUUGCCCGUCGCUCCUACUGAUAUUGGGUGAUGAGUUGAAUCUAAUGGACUGGUUUUAGAAAAUUAUGUAAAACUUAUCACCUAGAGGAAGGAGAAGUCGUAAUAAGGUU